GACGAACCGUGCGAACGUUGUUCGGAAUCACUGGGCUUAAAGGGCGCGUAGGCGGGCUCACAAGUCAGGGGUGAAAUCCCACGGCUCAACCGUGGAAGUGCCUUUGAUACUGUGGGUCUUGAGGGAGGUAGGGGCGUGCGGAACUUCCGGUGGAGCGGUGAAAUGCGUAGAUAUCGGAAGGAACACCGGUGGCGAAAGCGGCGCGCUGGACCUCUACUGACGCUGAGGCGCGAAAGCGUGGGGGAGCAAACAGGG
This 255-nucleotide ribosomal RNA is filed under the name uncultured bacterium. RNAcentral describes it as "partial 16S ribosomal RNA". It matches the Rfam family "Bacterial small subunit ribosomal RNA", at positions 524 to 777 of the family's 1533-position model. The record is from RNAcentral.